RNAcentral lists this microRNA precursor (200 nucleotides) under Oryza punctata. RNAcentral describes it as "MIR1435 microRNA precursor family". It matches the Rfam family "MIR1435 microRNA precursor family". The record is from Rfam by way of RNAcentral. Lineage: Eukaryota; Viridiplantae; Streptophyta; Magnoliopsida; Poales; Poaceae.
UGACUUUCUUUCUAGUCAAACCUUUUUAAAGUUUGACUAAGCUUAUAGAAAAUAUAGCAACAUUUUUAACACAAAACAAACAUAUUAUCAAAAUAUAUUCAAAUUUGUAUUUAAUGAAACUAAUUUGGUAUUUAAGAUGUUGCUAAAUUAUUCUAUAAACUUUAUCAAACCUAAAGAAGUUUGACUAGAAAGAAAGUCAA